CGCUAUCACUCCUACGGGGAGGCAGCAGUAGGGAAUCUUCCACAAUGGGCGCAAGCCUGAUGGAGCAACACCGCGUGAGUGAAGAAGGGUUUCGGCUCGUAAAGCUCUGUUGUUAAAGAAGAACACGUAUGAGAGUAACUGUUCAUACGUUGACGGUAUUUAACCAGAAAGUCACGGCUAACUACGUGCCAGCAGCCGCGGUAAUACGUAGGUGGCAAGCGUUAUCCGGAUUUAUUGGGCGUAAAGAGAGUGCAGGCGGUUUUCUAAGUCUGAUGUGAAAGCCUUCGGCUUAACCGGAGAAGUGCAUCGGAAACUGGAUAACUUGAGUGCAGAAGAGGGUAGUGGAACUCCAUGUGUAGCGGUGGAAUGCGUAGAUAUAUGGAAGAACACCAGUGGCGAAGGCGGCUACCUGGUCCGCAACUGACGCUGAGACUCGAAAGCAUGGGUAGCGAACAGGAUUAGAUACCCUGGUAG
This 474-nucleotide ribosomal RNA is filed under the name uncultured bacterium. Its description in RNAcentral is "bacterial SSU rRNA". It matches the Rfam family "Bacterial small subunit ribosomal RNA", at positions 328 to 793 of the family's 1533-position model. The record is from RNAcentral.